CGUCUAUAUACGUAUAGCAUAUCAAUAAGCGGAGGAAAAGAAACUAACUAGGAUUCCCUCAGUAACGGCGAGUGAAGCGGGAAGAGCUCAAAUUUGAAAUCUUCAAGGUUCUACCUUGACGAAUUGUAGUUUAAAGAAGUGUUUUCUGUUGGAGUUUUGGUAAAAGUUCUUUGGAAUAGGACAUCAUAGAGGGUGAGAAUCCCGUAUUUGACCAUUAUUUCCAGCUGUGUGAUACACUUUCAAAGAGUCGGAUUGUUUGGGAAUGCAGUCCAAAAUGGGUGGUAAAUUUCAUCUAAAGCUAAAUACUGGCGAGAGACCGAUAGCGAACAAGUACCGUGAGGGAAAGAUGAAAAGAACUUUGAAAAGAGAGUUAAACAGUACGUGAAAUUGUCAAAAGGGAAGCGUUUGACACCAGUGUUGUUUUCUCGAAAAUCAAUUAAAAAUGGCGGGAUUUUGUGUUGUAUUGACUUUAUCAGCUUUCUGCACUUUUUUCCUGUCUUUUUUGAUGCACUUUUCGUUUAACAAGUCAACAUCAAUUUCUUUUGUUGUAAAAGAGUCAUUGGAAGGUGGCUUUCUUUUCGGAGAAAGUGUUUAUAGCCUUUGCCUCUGCAAUCGGAGAGAUUGAGGUCUGCAGCGUAGAUCCUUCGGGGUUAGAUAGCAUUUGUGCUAAGUUAUAGCCUUUCAUAGACAACUUGUUGACUAUGAUCAGUCAUGUAGCUUACUCGCUUAUGCUAUUUUACCUACGCUUAGGAUGUUGACGAUCAGCUGAGCGCG
RNAcentral lists this ribosomal RNA (774 nucleotides) under uncultured Neocallimastigales. Its description in RNAcentral is "partial large subunit ribosomal RNA". It matches the Rfam family "Eukaryotic large subunit ribosomal RNA", at positions 26 to 627 of the family's 3401-position model. Lineage: Eukaryota; Fungi; Neocallimastigomycota; Neocallimastigomycetes; Neocallimastigales. The record is from RNAcentral.